Molecule: ribosomal RNA, 253 nt
Filed under: uncultured bacterium
Lineage: Bacteria
Description: partial 16S ribosomal RNA
Rfam family: Bacterial small subunit ribosomal RNA
Source: RNAcentral
UACGAAGGACCCGAGCGUUAUCCGGAUUUAUUGGGUUUAAAGGGUGCGUAGGCGGACUUAUAAGUCAGUGGUGAAAUCUCCCAGCUUAACUGGGAAACUGCCAUUGAAACUGUUUGUCUUGAGUACAUUUGAGGCGGGCGGAAUGUGUCAUGUAGAGGUGAAAUUCUUAGAUAUGACACAGAACACCAAUUGCGAAGGCAGCUCGCUAAACUGUAACUGACGCUGAGGCACGAAAGUGUGGGUAGCAAACAGG